AGUUAAUGAACUUGUUAUAAGUAUAUGUUUUGAAAACAUAAUAAAGGGAUUUAAAUCUCUAUUAACUU
This 68-nucleotide transfer RNA is filed under the name Craspedophorus nobilis. RNAcentral describes it as "tRNA-Ser". The record is from RNAcentral. Lineage: Eukaryota; Metazoa; Arthropoda; Insecta; Coleoptera; Carabidae.